Molecule: ribosomal RNA, 429 nt
Filed under: Acidobacteriota bacterium
Lineage: Bacteria; Pseudomonadati; Acidobacteriota
Description: Acidobacteria bacterium partial 16S ribosomal RNA
Rfam family: Bacterial small subunit ribosomal RNA
Source: RNAcentral
UGGGGAAUUUUGGACAAUGGGGGAAACCCUGAUCCAGCCAUCCCGCGUGUGCGAUGAAGGCCUUCGGGUUGUAAAGCACUUUUGGCAGGAAAGAAACGUCAUGGGUUAAUACCCCGUGAAACUGACGGUACCUGCAGAAUAAGCACCGGCUAACUACGUGCCAGCAGCCGCGGUAAUACGUAGGGUGCAAGCGUUAAUCGGAAUUACUGGGCGUAAAGCGUGCGCAGGCGGUUCGGAAAGAAAGAUGUGAAAUCCCAGAGCUCAACUUUGGAACUGCAUUUUUAACUGCCGGGCUAGAGUGUGUCAGAGGGGGGUGGAAUUCCGAGUGUAGCAGUGGAAUGCGUAGAUAUGCGGAGGAACACCGAUGGCGAAGGCAGCCUCCUGGGAUAACACUGACGCUCAUGCACGAAAGCGUGGGGAGCAAACAGG